This 253-nucleotide ribosomal RNA is filed under the name uncultured bacterium. RNAcentral describes it as "partial 16S ribosomal RNA". It matches the Rfam family "Bacterial small subunit ribosomal RNA", at positions 524 to 776 of the family's 1533-position model. The record is from RNAcentral.
UACGGGGGGGGCAAGCGUUGUUCGGAAUUACUGGGCGUAAAGGGCGCGUAGGCGGUGCUCUAAGUCGGAUGUGAAAACUCUGGGCUCAACCCAGAGCCUGCAUCCGAAACUGGAGUGCUAGAGUUCUGGAGGGGGUAGCGGAAUUCAUGGUGUAGCAGUGAAAUGCGUAGAGAUCAUGAGGAAGACCAGUGGCGAAGGCGGGUCUCUGGGCCGAUACUGACGCUGAGGAGCGAAAGCGUGGGGAGCGAACAGG